This 828-nucleotide long non-coding RNA is filed under the name Marmota monax (woodchuck). Lineage: Eukaryota; Metazoa; Chordata; Mammalia; Rodentia; Sciuridae. The record is from RNAcentral.
CCACAUACUACACAAAGUCACCAAAAACAUACAUUGGAGAAAAGUUAGCCUCUUCAACAAAUGGUGAUGCGAAAACUGGAAAUCAAUAUGCAGCAAAAUGAAACUAAAUCACUCUCUCUCACCAUGCACAAAACUCAUUCAUAGUGGACCAAGGACCUAGGAAUUAAGCCAAAGAACCAUUACCUAAGAAAAGAAAAAGCAUGCCAAAAUGUUCAUCAUGUUGAAUUAGGCCCCAACUUCCUUAAUAAGACUCCUAGAGCACAGGAAUUAAAAUCAAGAAUCAAUAAAUGGAUGGAUUCAAACUGAACAGCUUCUCAGCAAAAGAAACAACCAGUGAGGUGAAGAGACAUACUACAUCCUGGGAGCAAAUUCUUACCACACACAUAUCAGAUACAGAGCUCAUCUCUAGGAUAUUUAAAGAACUCAAUCUUAACACCAAAAACCACCCAAAUAAACCAAUCAAUAAAUGGGCCAAGGAAUUCAAUGUGCACUUCUCAGAAUAUGAUAUACAAUUGAGCAACAAAUAUAUAUGAAAAGUUCAAAAUAGCAAUUAGAGAAAUGCAAAUCAAAAUUAAGAUACUAUCUCACUCCAGUUAGAAUGGCAGCUAUUUUGAAGGCAAAAAACAAGUGCUGGUUAGGAUAUGGAGGAAAAGAUUCACCUGCAGUGUAUGAGUGUGACUGCAAAUUGGUGCAGCCAAUAUGAAAAGAAUUAUGGAGAUUCCUUGGAAAUCUGGGAAUGGAACCACCAUUUAACCCAGCUAUUCCUCUUCUUGGACUAUACCCAAAGGACGUAAAAACAGGAUACUAGAGGGACACAGACACGUCAAU